CCAUGGCGGUUUCUUACGUUUGCCGUAUGGUUACAUUACUUCACACUGCUCCAAACAAAGCGAUAAUAACGUGUUUCAAGAGUAUUACACUAAUUGUUGUACUUAUAAAAUUCGAAAAUGUUAACACAGCAUUUAGUAUAAGAUCACUUCUUGGCUAUUUAUAGAAGCUCGAACUUGGACACUAUACUGGCCACGAGCUAAGAACUGUGGAAUAUGCUCAUCUGGAAUAAAUACCAGUUUGUUUCUAAUAAAGUAAUCCCCCUACAGUAAGAUAUGAAAUAUUAUUAAAGUCUAAAGAGGGUAAAAGAAAUAUUUUAGGUAUACCUGUAAUACUGGGCAGUUACAUGGCAAGCCCAAUGCCAGAAAUGGCUCAGGACAUGGGACACCAGGUGGAAAAGGUAAUUCUGCACAUAAAUCUUCAUAGUCACAUGAACCAACAUUGUCAACACAAGGGACUUCAAUCCACAGGAACCCAACUUUCUUUUGAACUCGUACAAUAACCUUCACACAACCCAAGUUAAUCAUAAUCAAUAUAAAAACAGAAGUGUUGUCACACAAACUUUCAGUGGGGUUGUAAUGUCUCCUCUUAAAAUGGAAUCAACUGUGACAGUGACAUUCCCAGGUAUUGACAAUGGUUCUGAAAGGUCAAAUUCAUUUAUCUGGGCUAAGGCAUCAGGUCCUGAACAUGUCGACCAAUCAAAUUUCUUCAGCUGAAGAAAACAAAAAGAAGCAUAUUAUUCACAAUUUAGACAAAGUAUAAACUUAAUUAAAAUACAGGUGACAACAAUGCCCUUUUGUAAUUGAAGCUGCCAUAGUUUGCUAAUUAUCACCUUAAAAGUUAAUCCAGGUUUUCCAUACCGAACCACGUCGUCAUUUGCAUAUUUUUCGUCCAAUCGUUGAAUUACAUGCAUUUGACUUUGGGACCUUGAAAUGAAACGGCCAAGGCCAUUAGACAUUACAACAAGAAAUGACAAAAGGUAAAACACACAUUUUUUAGACAUAUUCAUGAAAGUUGAGACUAAAACGAGAAACAAUACGGCAAAGAGCCCACAGAAACUUCAAAAAGACUGUAGAAAAAUCAAAAUCUUGAAUAAGUAUGGUCUGCUGGUGUACAGUAAACAAAGAUUUAUCACGUGCAACGUUGCCUCCUCUGGGGCGAAGGCGGAAUUUCCAUUCCAUCUAGAUUCAAAAUGUUUACAAACAUAAACGAGAUUAAAAAAAAGAAAGAAGUUCUCUGUAAACACCAGUCGGACAAAAAAUUCCUAAAAACAAAUUCCAAAUUUCAACCCACAAUCUCUCCGAUGCUUUAUCUUGCAACUUAUCGUUAGACUAGAAGCAUAAACUUAAGAAAAAGCUAAAACGUAUUUGUAAAAAAGAUUUGUAAAUUUAACACCCUGAAUCUCGAAUUUCCGGCCCGUUUGGAAGUAUUUAGUGCAAUUUUUCGUCCCCGCACCCAGGCCAUUCAGCUCUGUUAUCACUUAUCAGUCCCCCAACGCUGUAACCCAGCUUUGUAGCAAAUUCUCUAUCUAUUGAUUUGCGAUCUUCCUAUGAUAUUUCUUAAAUCUUAAAUUAAAGCUAUUUGCUCAAACCAUUUUCUAUACCAACGAGUAUUUUCUUGUGGUAUUUCCCGCCAAGCUGUGGUGCGAUCUAGCGGCAGACUAUACAAACGACCAUUUGGACUACACUACACAAAUCAGCGUGUCUUGUCUCUUGUGUAGAUGUAGAUGGGGAUUGGCCCUGAGCCAAUCGGGGUUCGCAUUUCGGGGCGUCCCAUUACAUUUGCAAUUAGUCACCACUAAAGGAUUUUACCUCAAUAAAAUAACUAACAAAUAAAACCUGAAUACGAAUAUCAGCGGAAUGACUACACGAAGGUAUCACAUUGUAACAAAAAAGAAAAAACGGAAAGCCCACACUUACCGGUAACUACUAACUAAUGCCAUCUGGAUUGGAGUAAGCAGCCAUCUUGGAUUGAGCAGACUGAGCAGGCGGAGCUAACUAAUGCCAUCUGGAUGGGCAAUAGGCGCGACCAUAAACUGCAUAAAGUUUGAUCAAAGAUUCGAUUAAUUAGCCUCGAAGUGAUGGUGAUACUUGGUAGGUUAAGAGAGCAGUAGUUUUCUGCAUAGUAUAAUUUUCGUAUUUAUAUCUUUGAGGUAUCUAAUUGGCUCAAUUUGUAGACAAAAUUUUUUGAGUGGGAUAAAUGGGAUUCUAAGAAUGUUGGGGAUCUCUCCUUCUUGUCAUAAGAAUAAAUUGAAAAAGCAGGUCUUCUAAAAGACUAUUAACAGAAAGUUUUUUUUUGUCUGUUUAUUUUAAUAUUUAUUGAAUAUUUAACAGAAGAUGUUGAUUUUGUGUUGUUACCUAAAACAUUAUGGAACUUGCACAUUCCUUCACAUUAACCAAUAGCCUGGAAGGUUGUUGAUAAUCGAAUGCUCACCAAUUAUCUGUGGAUGGAAAUAUACUUAACAGUGCUCAAAUGAAACAAAUAUCCAGAAACUCAGAAAACAUGCAAAGAAAUUUGACAAAAAAAAAGGUACUGUAGAUAAAAUGACAGAAGGUCUUCCAAAAUCAGUUCAACAGCUAGUUAAAUGCAUGUUUUAUGAAAAAACUGUUGAAAAAGUUCUGUGAAAUAUUUUCAAAAUUCUUGAAACAAGCAACAUACAUCUGUGAAUGAAAUCAAGAUAUCAGACUUAUGAAGAAUUGCUUGUGGAAAAGCAAUCAAUCCAGGAAAGUAAGUUGAAUGGGAAACCAAACUUUGGUGGCUGAUAAAAAAAGGAACAUGGUUUAGAAAGAUGUCAUAUUCAAAUCAGCAGCCUUGGAUGUUUGCUUACAGAUUAUUUUCCACCAUUUCCUUACAGUUAAGUCAUCUUACUGGACAACAGCAUGGACCUCAGUUAUAAUGUUUACACAUUGUUUUGCCUUCAUAUCUCCCCUUUUUUGAAAUUCAUUUUCAAAAAUUUUCAUUCCACGUUAAAAUGGGGUUUUCUCGAGUUCCCGUUACGUUCAACCUGGUCCUUCCGGGCUUAACAAUCUGGGCAACAUUUGUCUCAUGAACAGCAUGUUGCAAGAAGAGCGACACUGGGCUGCAUUGAACAAGGUGAAUCCGCUAGGCAAUCAAGGUCGAAUCCAGGUGGCGGUGGCCAUUAAUAACAAUGGACGAGGAUAAUAGAGCAAAAGGGCAACGCGCACGUGGCAACGCCGCAUUAUAGAAGUGGUCUCAAGUCUCAACUCGCAAUCUUUCAAUUGGGUGACUCAUUAAGUUCUUCCCGAUCAACGAGGCUGCAUUCACGUUCCUGCGAAGAAUUCCAACAUGGAAAGAAGCAACUUCGAUCUGGUGAAUGUCCACCGCCGUAGCCAUCGAUGUGGAAGGAGUCGAAAGAAAAGUCCACAAGUAAUGGAUCUCUUAAGAUGAAAAGGAGGGGCAAAGAAAAAGAAUCGCCGACUUGUCGACCGAGGGAAAGAAGAAGACAGAAAACAGAUGACAAAGCAGCAGCACGCGGGAAAAUAAAAAAAGGCGAACACAAUAUAUACUGUGCAUACAAAACUUGUAUGGGAUUCUGUGCAUAUAUAAAUCACGUUUUCCUUUUGUUAUCAUGGGGGGGUAGAACUCUAUCAUCUUUUCGUCAUAUUUAGAAAAAAAUGUGUUUUUUUUUUCUAUCUCGUCUAGUUGAAAUGUUUUGUCGAGUCAACUGCCGACUUUGGAUUGUGCAAUUCCCGUUGGAAUUUUCUGUUUUCUGGCCAUAUUUCGUGGAAAACUUUUUAUAUAUCCGUGAUAUUGUCUCUUUGGAUGUGUUGGGAGUCGACUGUUGCGUGUUGGAGGCGGCAUCUUUUACAUAAAUAGGCGCGC
RNAcentral lists this long non-coding RNA (3841 nucleotides) under Daphnia magna. Its description in RNAcentral is "uncharacterized LOC116933470, transcript variant X3". Lineage: Eukaryota; Metazoa; Arthropoda; Branchiopoda; Diplostraca; Daphniidae. The record is from RNAcentral.